AGCAACAAAAAAGUCCUCCCUGGUGCUUAGUAAGGCCAAGGGGUUGUAUGCUGCCCAGGGUUUCAGGUGGAAAAGAAGUGUCCCCAUAAAGAGUCAGUGCCUGGGGACGAUGGAAAAUGAGGGAAUGUGGAAGAGUCUGGAGGUUUCACCCACUGGAAGCGGGGGCUGCAGAGAAAGAAUGCCAAGCCCCAGGAACUGAGCACAGUGUCUUGAAAUCACAACCCACCACAGCAGCCACCCCAGGUCCGGCACCGGAACUUCAGACAGGGGCAGCCGAAGUGGUCUGCAAGUCAGGGUUUGUGUGGCCAGAGAGAAAAGGAGGAGAAAUAGAAGCCACAAAGGGCAGAUCUGUAGGAGCCUACGAACACGGGACUGUCGACGUCCCCCAGGGAGGGACACUGGCUCAGGGGCCUGCGGGCAGGAGGAAAGCGGCCCCACUGCCCGGAAACUAGCCACGUUCUGUGGGAAUAGGAACAUCCAGAUUCAUGGCCCUCAAAGGACUCCAAGCAAGAUCAGCCCGAUGAGGGACGUCCUGAGACACGUCAUGAUCAAGGAGAAGCAGCACCGCAGGCAGGAAGGGGCUCCUCCGUCCGGGAACCGGGGGGCCGACGUGGCAGGUGGAGGGGGUGGGACAGCAUGUUCGAGUUCUGAAAGGAAAAAGUAACUGCCAAACAGGAAACAGCAAGCCCUACCUGGCCGAGCUGCUCCUCAGAAACGAACGAGAGAGAAAAUGUUCCCAGACAUGAGAUGGGGUGCCCCUCCCUGUGACUCCUGACUUACAAGGAAUCCCAAAUGCCGUUCUUCACACAGAAAUCACGCUGAGUGACAUGAAUCUACGUCACUAUCGACGCACAUACGUGGUCAGAGUCAGAGUGCGUCACGCAGCAGUGAAGGAACAUAGAAUAACUAGAGUGAAACAAGAACACUAGAGCUACGGUGUGUCCUCAGGGAAACACCAUUUUAUAAAAAAUAUAAAGUGACAUCGAUCGUAUAAAGGGUUGGGGUGGGGAGUGGACGUGUGGAGUUUUGCAUGCA
RNAcentral lists this long non-coding RNA (1035 nucleotides) under Marmota monax (woodchuck). The record is from RNAcentral. Lineage: Eukaryota; Metazoa; Chordata; Mammalia; Rodentia; Sciuridae.